This 453-nucleotide ribosomal RNA is filed under the name uncultured Porphyromonas sp. Its description in RNAcentral is "partial 16S ribosomal RNA". It matches the Rfam family "Bacterial small subunit ribosomal RNA", at positions 341 to 792 of the family's 1533-position model. Lineage: Bacteria; Pseudomonadati; Bacteroidota; Bacteroidia; Bacteroidales; Porphyromonadaceae. The record is from RNAcentral.
ACGGGAGGCAGCAGUGAGGAAUAUUGGUCAAUGGGCGGAAGCCUGAACCAGCCAAGUCGCGUGAAGGAAGAAGGUAUUAUAUAUUGUAAACUUCUUUAGACGCAGAGAAAUAAGUUCCACGUGUGGAGUGAUGCUAGUAUGCGUAGAAUAAGGAUCGGCUAACUCCGUGCCAGCAGCCGCGGUAAUACGGAGGAUCCGAGCGUUAUCCGGAUUUAUUGGGUUUAAAGGGUGCGCAGGCGGUCUUUUAAGUCAGUGGUUAAAUAGUGAGGCUCAACCUCAUUCCGCCAUUGAUACUGGGAGACUUGAUUGCGGUCGAGGUUGGCGGAAUUCGCCGUGUAGCGGUGAAAUGCAUAGAUAUGGCGAAGAACUCCGAUUGCGUAGGCAGCUGACCAGGCCGUAAAUGACGCUCAUGCACGAAAGUGCGGGGAUCGAACAGGAUUAGAUACCCUGGUA